Molecule: ribosomal RNA, 253 nt
Filed under: uncultured bacterium
Lineage: Bacteria
Description: partial 16S ribosomal RNA
Rfam family: Bacterial small subunit ribosomal RNA
Source: RNAcentral
UACGGAGGGGGCUAGCGUUGUUCGGAAUUACUGGGCGUAAAGCGCACGCAGGUGGCUGAGUCAGUCGAUUGUGAAAGCCCUGGGCUUAACCUGGGAAUUGCAGUCGAUACUACUCAGCUAGAGUAUGGGAGAGGGUAGUGGAAUUCCCGGUGUAGCGGUGAAAUGCGUAGAUAUCGGGAGGAACAUCAGUGGCGAAGGCGGCUACCUGGCCCAAUACUGACACUCAGGUGCGACAGCGUGGGGAGCAAACAGG